UACGUAGGGGGCAAGCGUUGUCCGGAUUUAUUGGGCGUAAAGAGCGUGUAGGCGGCCAUACAGGUCCGUUGUGAAAACUGGAGGCUUAACCUCCAGACGUCGAUGGAAACCGUAUGGCUAGAGUCCGGAAGAGGAGAGUGGAAUUCCCAGUGUAGCGGUGAAAUGCGUAGAUAUUGGGAAGAACACCUGAGGCGAAGGCGGGUUGCUGGGCCGACACUGACGCUGAGUGCGCGAAAGCCAGGGGAGCGAACGGG
This 254-nucleotide ribosomal RNA is filed under the name uncultured bacterium. Its description in RNAcentral is "partial 16S ribosomal RNA". It matches the Rfam family "Bacterial small subunit ribosomal RNA", at positions 524 to 776 of the family's 1533-position model. The record is from RNAcentral.